Molecule: ribosomal RNA, 427 nt
Filed under: uncultured bacterium
Lineage: Bacteria
Description: partial 16S ribosomal RNA
Rfam family: Bacterial small subunit ribosomal RNA
Source: RNAcentral
UGGGGAAUAUUGCACAAUGGGCGCAAGCCUGAUGCAGCCAUGCCGCGUGUAUGAAGAAGGCCUUCGGGUUGUAAAGUACUUUCAGCGGGGAGGAAGGCGAUAAGGUUAAUAACCUUGUCGAUUGACGUUACCCGCAGAAGAAGCACCGGCUAACUCCGUGCCAGCAGCCGCGGUAAUACGGAGGGUGCAAGCGUUAAUCGGAAUUACUGGGCGUAAAGCGCACGCAGGCGGUCUGUCAAGUCGGAUGUGAAAUCCCCGGGCUCAACCUGGGAACUGCAUUCGAAACUGGCAGGCUAGAGUCUUGUAGAGGGGGGUAGAAUUCCAGGGGUAGCGGUGAAAUGCGUAGAGAUCUGGAGGAAUACCGGUGGCGAAGGCGGCCCCCUGGACAAAGACUGACGCUCAGGUGCGAAAGCGUGGGGAGCAAACA